RNAcentral lists this small RNA (117 nucleotides) under Callithrix jacchus (white-tufted-ear marmoset). RNAcentral's name for it is "Metazoan signal recognition particle RNA (ENSCJAG00000077807.1)". The record is from Rfam by way of RNAcentral. Lineage: Eukaryota; Metazoa; Chordata; Mammalia; Primates; Cebidae.
GCCAGGUGUGGUGGCACACACCUGUAAUCCCAGCACUCUGGGAGGCUGAGGCAGGUGGAUCACCUGAGGUCAGGAGUUUGAGACCAGCCUGGCCAACAUGGUGAAACCCUGUCUCUA